GGCGAACGGGUGAGUAAUGCAUCGGAACGUGCCCAGUAGUGGGGGAUAGCCCGGCGAAAGCCGGAUUAAUACCGCAUACGACCUACGGGUGAAAGCGGGGGACCAGAUAGCAAUAUUUGGCCUCGCGCUAUCGGAGCGGCCGAUGUCAGAUUAGGUAGUUGGUGGGGUAAAGGCCUACCAAGCCGACGAUCUGUAGCUGGUCUGAGAGGACGACCAGCCACACUGGGACUGAGACACGGCCCAGACUCCUACGGGAGGCAGCAGUGGGGAAUUUUGGACAAUGGGGGAAACCCUGAUCCAGCCAUGCCGCGUGCGGGAAGAAGGCCUUCGGGUUGUAAACCGCUUUUGUCAGGGAAGAAAUCUUUUGCGCUAAUACCGCGGGAGGAUGACGGUACCUGAAGAAUAAGCACCGGCUAACUACGUGCCAGCAGCCGCGGUAAUACGUAGGGUGCAAGCGUUAAUCGGAAUUACUGGGCGUAAAGCGUGCGCAGGCGGUCAUGC
This 501-nucleotide ribosomal RNA is filed under the name uncultured Rubrivivax sp. RNAcentral's name for it is "bacterial SSU rRNA". It matches the Rfam family "Bacterial small subunit ribosomal RNA", at positions 97 to 584 of the family's 1533-position model. The record is from RNAcentral. Lineage: Bacteria; Pseudomonadati; Pseudomonadota; Betaproteobacteria; Burkholderiales; Sphaerotilaceae.